AGUCGUAACAAGGUUUCCGUAGGUGAACCUGCGGAAGGAUCAUUACAGUAUUCUUUUUGCCAGCGCUUAAUUGCGCGGCGAAAAAACCUUACACACAGUGUUUUUUGUUAUUACAAGAACUUUUGCUUUGGUCUGGACUAUAAAUAGUUUGGGCCAGAGGUUUACUGAACUAAACUUCAAUAUUUAUAUUGAAUUGUUAUUUAUUUAAUUGUCAAUUUGUUGAUUAAAUUCAAAAAAUCUUCAAAACUUUCAACAACGGAUCUCUUGGUUCUCGCAUCGAUGAAGAACGCAUCGAAAUGCGAUAAGUAAUAUGAAUUGCAGAUUUUCGUGAAUCAUCGAAUCUUUGAACGCACAUUGCGCCCUCUGGUAUUCCAGAGGGCAUGCCUGUUUGAGCGUCAUUUCUCUCUCAAACCUUCGGGUUUGGUAUUGAGUGAUACUCUUACUCGAACUAUGCGUUUGCUUGAAAUGUAUUGGCAUGAGUGGUACUGGAUAGUGCUAUAUGACUUUCAAUGUAUUAUGUUUAUCCAACUCGUUGAAUAGUUUAAUGGUAUAUUUCUCGGUAUUCUAGGCUCGGCCUUACAAUAUAACAAACAAGUUUGACCUCAAAUCAGGUAGGAUUACCCGCUGAACUUAAGCAUAUCAAUAAGUCG
RNAcentral lists this ribosomal RNA (650 nucleotides) under uncultured fungus. Its description in RNAcentral is "eukaryotic LSU rRNA". The stretch from base 245 to 398 matches the Rfam family "5.8S ribosomal RNA". The record is from RNAcentral. Lineage: Eukaryota; Fungi.